UGCACGCCCGCGAACCGUGCCUCUGUAGCGGCCCUAAGCCGAGCCUGCCUGCGUGGCUGGCCCUGGGGUUGCCCUGCUGCCCACCGCCGCCAGAGUCUGCCCUCCCCGCGUGGCGGCCAGUCCCACAGAUCUCUUCAGGUUCCUCCCCGCGCUCUCCUCCAAGUCCUGAUCUCAUCCCUCGCUAGGUUCUGCUUGGUUGCUCCCGGCCUCCCCUAAAGAAAAGCAAUUAAUUUAGGGACGGGGUGCGGGAAGGGGGGUGGGAGCGAAGUGUGAGACGAGAGACUUUCCAUUCAGUCGUCCAGACAUAAAAGGACCCACCGUCCCUUUGACCUGUGCCCAGAGUCUGUCUUGGCCUGAAAUGGACCGUUUGUGUUGCAACCUGAGACGUCUCCAUCUUGCCCUAACCUCUGAGCAGCCCCUCUUCUAGCUUUCAAAAGACAGGAAAGGAAUGGGAAUUGGAACUCUUUCCUGCCACCUAAGUCACCAGUGAAUGCACUUACUGUUUGUUUAGCAUAUCAGUGUCCCUCGGCCUGUAAGUUAGGAUGGGGGCGGGGAGUUGUCCCGCCUCGAUUCUGAACUUGCCAGUCCAGAACAGUGCCUGGCUGCAAGAGAGCUGCCCAACGAAUCCUUAAAGAGCAGGAUUCUGAGAAUAGUCUCCAAAGGGGAAAAGGAAAAAGAGAAGGACCAGCACACAAAACGGAUGAGAGUGAAGGAAAAAUAGGAAAAUCCAAGGAAGAGUGUUGGGUAGGACAACAAGUUUUAGACAGGAGCAAGACUAGAAGCAGAGCAUUGUUGCUGGAGUCCAAACUGCGGGGAAACUGCAGUCUCCCGGUUCAGGGUUUUGCAGAAAGCCGGUCUUACCUGUGUCCUUCUGAUGUCUGUCCUGUUCUAGGCUAUUGACCAUGUAGUAGAGCAAGCUCCUAAUUACCAGGCAAUUAGAGAAAACCAGGAGAGAGCAUAUCACCAGUGUUUCGUCUGUCCCCAGGUCCUUCCAAUGAGUGGCAGUGUUAGCUGAACUGCAGGUGCCAGCCCCAAGACUUAACUCUGGGGGAGACUUCACUCUGGGGGAGCACCCCUCCAGUAGGCAGCCUGAUACUCAAUUUUGAAAACAACGCUUUUGGGUUCUCCUGUUGUUGGAACUUGCUUUGCAGACCGGGUUGGCCUCUAACAGAGAUCUGCCGGCCUCUGCCUCCUGAGUGUUCAAAUGAAAGGUCCUGAAUGCUGGGAUGAAAGGCACGGGCCACCACAGUCACCUCAAAGCAAUUCUUGAAGAGAAAGCAAAUAAGGCCGUUGUUGGAGGCUAAUGGAAACAGCGGUUCUCGCAGACGUGUGUCAAAGCUUGACGGAUUGUACGUGCACUUCAACACGGAAACGCUUGGCCAAGAGGACUCUGGGAAAGAUUUAUGAAAGAUGUCAUAUUCGAGCCGGCUACUUCCUCCAGGUGACCACCUCAGUCUGCAGCUGUCAGCACCAUCACCUUCCAGGACCUUUGUCUGACAUCUCCAGAAUCCAGGAAAUUUUGGUCAGGCUGUGCCUCAAGGUGGAGGACUGGAUGGUAGGGGCAGAAAGAUGUUCUGAACCCUGAAUGGAUGACCAACCAUUAGACCCAAAGAUGAGUCCAAGGACUGCUGUGAUGGCUCAUCCCAUAAAGACACUAGCCCUCAAGCCUCAAGAUUUGACCUCAGCCCCUGGGACCGACAUGGUGGAAGGGUAUGAUAAACCCUGUGAUUUAAACUCCUACAAGCUGUUCUGUGACCUCCACGUACAUACUCCACAGGCACUACGUAAAUAAAUGUAAAAA
This is a long non-coding RNA of Meriones unguiculatus (Mongolian gerbil), 1801 nucleotides long. RefSeq lists it as uncharacterized. The transcript has 3 exons. NCBI's taxonomy places the organism in Eukaryota, Metazoa, Chordata, Mammalia, Rodentia, Muridae. The record is from RefSeq and is a predicted model, not a curated record.